CACUGUUUUUAAUCUUUUCGUUCUCUGUCCUGUGGUAGCUUCCAUCACUCUCUCACUCUCAGAGAUUGCACUGAGGAAGACACACAAUACGGCACUCACUCUCGUAGAUCUGAAACCCACAAACCCCAAAAACCCUUAGCUCCGAGGACGAUCUGUCUAGGUGGUGAUUUAACAAAAAUGGCUGUCGUGGAUGCUGAAAACCCUCGUCUUGGAGAAACGACUUGCGGUUCUUUACUGCAGAAACUACAGGAAAUUUGGAAUGAAGUUGGCGAGAGUGAUGAAGAACGAGACAAAAUGCUUCUUCAAUUAGAGCAAGAGUGUCUAGAUGUAUACAAGAGGAAGGUCGAGCUGGCAGCAAAGUCAAGGGCACAGCUCCUUCAGGCAUUGUCUGAUGCCAAACUUGAACUUUCCAGUCUUGUAUCAGCUCUGGGAGAAAAAAGUUUUGUCGGAGUUCCCGAGAAGACUUCAGGAACAAUCAAGGAACAGCUUGCAGCUAUAGCGCCAGUACUGGAGCAGCUGUGGAAACAGAAAGAGGACAGGGUGAAGGAGUUUUCUGAUGUACAGUCACAGAUACAAAAGAUUUGUGGAGAAAUUGCUGGGAACUUGAAUCUCAGUGAGAGUCCUGCUGUUGAUGAGUCUGAUCUAUCCCUGAAGAAAUUAGAUGAAUAUCAAUCCCAACUUCAUGAUCUUCAAAAGGAAAAGAGUGAAAGAUUGCACAAGGUGCUUGAAUUUGUGAGCACAGUGCAUGACCUUUGUGCUGUGCUUGGGCUGGACUUCUUGAGUACUGUUACAGAGGUCCAUCCUAGCUUAAAUGACUCAACUGGUGUGCAAUCCAAAAGCAUUAGCAAUGAUACUUUAUCUAGGCUGGCUAAGACUGUCUUAGCACUAAAAGAAGAUAAGAAGCAGAGGCUGCAUAAGCUCCAAGAGUCAGCAACACAGCUACUUGAUCUGUGGAAUCUGAUGGAUACCCCUGAUGAGGAAAGGGGAUUCUUUGACCAUGUUACCUGUAACAUAUCAGCUUCAGUGGAUGAAGUGACUGUUCCUGGGGCUCUUGCCUGGGAUCUGAUUGAGCAGGUAUAUAAGCAUAUGAUGUUCAGUGGUUUGUUAAAACAAUUUAUGAUGGCUGUUUACUCAUUUCUCGAUUUUGUUUUGAAGACUGAGGUCGAAGUUGAGCGGCUUGAUCAGCUGAAAUCAAGCAGGAUGAAGGAAAUUGCAUUCAAGAAGCAGUCAGAGCUUGAGGAGAUUUUCACUCGAGCUCACAUAGAAAUAGAUCCAGAAGCUGCAAGAGAUAAGAUUAUGGAACUGAUUGAUUCUGGGAAUGUUGAACCUACUGAAUUACUGGCUGACAUGGAUGAUCAGAUAGCGAAAGCGAGGGAUGAAGCUCUAAGCAGAAAGGAUAUAUUGGACAAAGUUGAGAAAUGGAUGUCAGCCUGCGAAGAAGAGAGUUGGCUUGAGGACUACAAUCGCGAUGAAAACAGGUAUAAUGCAAGUAGAGGUGCACACCUAAACCUCAAGCGUGCAGAGAAAGCACGUAUUCUGGUUAACAAAAUCCAGCUCUUGUGGACACAUUGGUAGCCAAAACUCGUGGAUGGGAGGAAGAUCGUGGCAUAUCAUUUACUUAUGAUGGUGUUCCUCUCCUUGCUAUGCUAGAUGAAUAUGCCAUGCUUAGGCAAGACAGAGAAGAAGAGAAGCGGAGGAUGAGGGAUCAGAAGAAGUAUCAAGAGCUACAACAUACAGAACAAGAAACCAUAUUUGGCUCAAAGCCUAGCCCUGCUCGACCAGUUGGCACAAAGAAGAUAGUAGGUCCUCGUGCAAAUGGAGGUCCAAAUGGAACUCCUGGCAGACGGCUAUCACUCAAUGCUCAUCAAAAUGGAAGCAGGUCUGUAACGAAAGAUGCGAAGAAGGAUCUUAGGCCCGUUGCUCCUAUGAACUAUGUUGAGAUAGCAAAAGAGGAUGCUGCGUCCCACAUUUCUGGCACUGAUACACUUCCGGUGUCACCAUAAUAGUAAGGGAGAUAAUUGUAGGUUACAUCUCUGUCAAAUUUUAGUGUUUUAACUAGUUACUGUUGUAGGGAUAUAAUGUAUGAAACAGUGAGGGUAAAUUGGAGAGUGAACUGUGUGUACCUGUGCAUGUUAUGUUUUAGCAUUCGGAGGCUUUCUAAAUACACGUUGCGUUCUCUGUUCUUCAUGUUUUGGCUGGUAGCUAUUCUGUGUUCGAAAUAAAAUCCCGCCUCUGCAUUCGUGCCAGUA
RNA transcript from Prunus persica (peach), 2249 nucleotides. It is a transcript of the gene named 65-kDa microtubule-associated protein 1, with no coding region annotated. The record is from RefSeq and is a predicted model, not a curated record. The transcript is spliced from 9 exons. NCBI's taxonomy places the organism in Eukaryota, Viridiplantae, Streptophyta, Magnoliopsida, Rosales, Rosaceae.